Molecule: ribosomal RNA, 498 nt
Filed under: uncultured bacterium
Lineage: Bacteria
Description: bacterial SSU rRNA
Rfam family: Bacterial small subunit ribosomal RNA
Source: RNAcentral
UCAGGAUGAACGCUGGCGGCGUGCCUAACACAUGCAAGUCGAACGAAGCAUACGGACCGGAGAUUCGUCGAAGGACUGUAUGACUUAGUGGCGGACGGGUGAGUAAUGUAUGAGCAACCUGCCUUUCAGAGGGGGACAACAGUUGGAAACGACUGCUAAUACCGCGUAACGUAUCGUGGGGGCAUCCUCGUGAUACCAAAGGAGCAAUCCGCUGAAAGAUGGGCUCAUAUCUGAUUAGCUUGUUGGCGGGGUAACGGCCCACCAAGGCGACGAUCAGUAGCCGGACUGAGAGGUUGAACGGCCACAUUGGGACUGAGAUACGGCCCAGACUCCUACGGGAGGCAGCAGUGGGGAAUAUUGGGCAAUGGGCGAAAGCCCUGACCCAGCAACGCCGCGUGAAGGAAGAAGGUCUUCGGAUUGUAAACUUCUUUUAUGAGGGACGAAGGACGUGACGGUACCUCAUGAAUAAGCCACGGCUAACUACGUGCCAGCCGCCGC